This is an RNA transcript of Camelina sativa (false flax), 1807 nucleotides long. It is a transcript of the gene named disease resistance protein TAO1-like, with no coding region annotated. The record is from RefSeq and is a predicted model, not a curated record. NCBI's taxonomy places the organism in Eukaryota, Viridiplantae, Streptophyta, Magnoliopsida, Brassicales, Brassicaceae.
UUCUCCAACAUGUAUCUAUAGAGAAAGCCUCUUGAUCCUCUCUCCACCACACAAAUGGAUUCUCUAACUUUCCUUACCAUUGUUGUAGCUGCAAUAGGCUUCUUCGUGAUUUUCAGAAGUUUUAGAUCCGAAGAAGAAAUAAAAGAAAUGGAUUCUUCUUCGUUAUCACCUCCAUCUUAUUUGUCUCACAAGUGGAUACACGACGUCUUUCCAAGCUUCCGCGGGGAGGAUGUGCGUCAAGACUUUCUCAGCCAUAUUCAGAAGGAGUUCCAAAGAAAGGGAAUCACACCAUUCAUGGAUAAUAAGAUCAAAGAGAGGAGAAUCCAUCGGUUCUGAACUCAUACGUGCCAUUAGAGGAUCUAAGGUCGCCAUCAUCUUGCUCUCGAGGAACUAUGCUUCGUCAAAGUGGUGUAUUGAAGAAUUGGUGGAGAUUAUGAAGUGUAGAGAAAGGUUAGGUCAAACUGUGAUGGCUGUUUUUCAUAAAGUAGAUCCAUCUGAUGUAAAAUGCUUGACGGGAGAUUUCGGGAAGGCUUUCAGAAAAAGUUGUGCCGGUAAAAGUAAGGAGGACAUUGAAAGAUGAAGACAAGCUUUAGCAAAAGUGGCCACAAUUGCGGGUUACCAUUCAAGCAACUGGGACAAUGAAGCAUCCAUGAUUGAAAGAAUCACAACUGAUGUUUCAAAUGAGUUGAUUAGUUCUGCCCCAUCAAGCGACGGUUUGGUUGGAAUGAGAGCUCAUAUGGAAAAGAUUGAGCCAUUUUUAGGCUUAGAUCCGAUAAAGUAAGGAUGAUAGGGAUCUGGGGUCCCUCUGGAAUUGGCAAGAGCACCAUUGCUAGAUUUCUAUUUGAAGAGUACUCUCAUGAGUUCCAGCUUAGUGUUUUCAUGGAGAACAUCAAAAGACGGUAUCCAAGACUUUGUCAUGAUGAGUACAGUACAGAACUACAGUUUUAAAAAGAGUUUUUGUCUCAAAUAAUAAACCAAGAUGAUAUUAAGAUUCAUCAUUUAGGAGUUGCAAAAGACAGAUUAAAGUACAAGAGAGUGCUUAUUAUUCUUGAUGAUGUGGAUCAGUGGGUGCAACUAGUUGCAAUGGCAAAAGAAAAUGGGUGAUUUGGUCCUGGAAGUCGGAUUUUAAUCACAACGCAAGAUAAAAGGCUUUUGAAUGCACAUGGAAGUAACCAUAUAUACGAGGUGGGGAUUCCAUCUGAUGAUGAGGCUCUCGAAAUCUUCUGCAUGUACGCUUUUGGUCAAAAGUCUCCAUUUGAUGGUUUUGAGAAUCUUGCUCUGGAAGUUACAAAACUUUCUGGUAAGAUUCCUUUGGGACUAAAGGUUAUGGGAGCUUAUUUUAGAGGAAUGUCGAAGCAUGAGUGGAAAAAAGAACUACCAAGGUUACGGAAUAGCCUUGACGGAGAAAUUGAAAGCAUUUUGAAGUUUAGUUACGAUGCAUUACGUGAAGAAGACAAAGAUGUUUAUCUUUGUAUAGCAUGGUUUAUCAACAAUGGAUGGAUUGAGAAAGUGGAAGAGCAUCUCCCAAAGAAUUUUGUUGAUGUGAGCCAAGGUCUUCACAUCUUAGCUGAGAAAUCUCUCAUAUCUAUUAGUUGGGGAUAUAUAUGGAUGCAUGAUUUGCUAGCACAUUUUGGUAGAAAGAUUGUUCGUAAAAAUCCAUUCAUGAACUUGGGCAAUGUCAACAUUUGGUUGAUGCUGGAGAGACUUGCCAAGUAUUGAAGAAUGAUACAGCAGUAAGUUUUUACAUUAAUCAGUCGUCGAGUGUUCCCUUACAAAAUUUAAUAAAAACAAAUUUUACUUAUGUAUC